Molecule: ribosomal RNA, 492 nt
Filed under: uncultured bacterium
Lineage: Bacteria
Description: partial 16S ribosomal RNA
Rfam family: Bacterial small subunit ribosomal RNA
Source: RNAcentral
AGUGAACGCUGGCGGUAGGCCUAACACAUGCAAGUCGAACGGCAGCACAGUAAGAGCUUGCUCUUACGGGUGGCGAGUGGCGGACGGGUGAGGAAUACAUCGGAAUCUACUUUUUCGUGGGGGAUAACGUAGGGAAACUUACGCUAAUACCGCAUACGACCUACGGGUGAAAGCAGGGGAUCUUCGGACCUUGCGCGAUUGAAUGAGCCGAUGUCGGAUUAGCUAGUUGGCGGGGUAAAGGCCCACCAAGGCGACGAUCCGUAGCUGGUCUGAGAGGAUGAUCAGCCACACUGGAACUGCGACACGGUCCAGACUCCUACGGGAGGCAGCAGUGGGGAAUAUUGGACAAUGGGCGCAAGCCUGAUCCAGCCAUACCGCGUGGGUGAAGAAGGCCUUCGGGUUGUAAAGCCCUUCUGUUGGGAAAGAAAAGCAGCAGGUUAAUACCCCGCUGUUCUGACGGUACCCAACCAAUAAGCACCGGCUAACUUCGUG